AACUCAAAGGAAUUGAGCGGGGGCCCGCACAAGCGGUGGAGCAUGUGGUUUAAUUCGAAGCAACGCGAAGAACCUUACCAGGUCUUGACAUCCUUUGACCACUCUGGAGACAGAGCUUUCCCUUCGGGGACAAAGUGACAGGUGGUGCAUGGUUGUCGUCAGCUCGUGUCGUGAGAUGGUUGGUUAGUCCCGCAACGAGCGCAACCCUUGAUUUUAGUUGCCAGCAUUUAGUUGGGCACUCUAAAGUGACUGCCGGUGCAAGCCGGAGGAAGGUGGGGAUGACGUCAAAUCAUCAUGCCCCUUAUGACCUGGGCUACACACGUGCUACAAUGGAUAGUACAAAGGGUCGCGAAGCCGCGAGGUGGAGCUAAUCCCAUAAAACUAUUCUCAGUUCGGAUUGUAGGCUGCAACUCGCCUACAUGAAGCCGGAAUCGCUAGUAAUCGUGGAUCAGCAUGCCACGGUGAAUACGUUCCCGGGCCUUGUACACACCGCCCGUCACACCACGAGAGUUUGUAACACCCGAAGUCGG
This 530-nucleotide ribosomal RNA is filed under the name Listeria monocytogenes. RNAcentral's name for it is "bacterial SSU rRNA". It matches the Rfam family "Bacterial small subunit ribosomal RNA", at positions 898 to 1430 of the family's 1533-position model. Lineage: Bacteria; Bacillati; Bacillota; Bacilli; Caryophanales; Listeriaceae. The record is from RNAcentral.